Molecule: ribosomal RNA, 808 nt
Filed under: Nectria balsamea
Lineage: Eukaryota; Fungi; Ascomycota; Sordariomycetes; Hypocreales; Nectriaceae
Description: eukaryotic LSU rRNA
Rfam family: Eukaryotic large subunit ribosomal RNA
Source: RNAcentral
AGUGAAGCGGCAACAGCUCAAAUUUGAAAUCUGGCCCUUGUGGUCCGAGUUGUAAUUUGUAGAGGAUGCUUUUGGUGCGGUGCCUUCCGAGUUCCCUGGAACGGGACGCCAUAGAGGGUGAGAGCCCCGUCUGGUUGGACACCAAGCCUCUGUAAAGCUCCUUCGACGAGUCGAGUAGUUUGGGAAUGCUGCUCUAAAUGGGAGGUAUAUGUCUUCUAAAGCUAAAUACCGGCCAGAGACCGAUAGCGCACAAGUAGAGUGAUCGAAAGAUGAAAAGCACUUUGAAAAGAGGGUUAAAUAGUACGUGAAAUUGUUGAAAGGGAAGCGUUUGUGACCAGACUUGGGCUUGGUUAAUCAUCCAGCGUUCUCGCUGGUGCACUUUGCCAGCCCAGGCCAGCAUCAGUUCGCUGCGGGGGAUAAAAGAUCCGGGAAUGUGGCUCUUCGGAGUGUUAUAGCCCGUUUCUUAAUACCCUGUGGUGGACUGAGGUUCGCGCAUCUGCAAGGAUGCUGGCGUAAUGGUCAUCAACGACCCGUCUUGAAACACGGACCAAGGAGUCGUCUUCGUAUGCGAGUGUUCGGGUGUCAAACCCCUACGCGUAAUGAAAGUGAACGGAGGUGGGAGCCUCGGCGCACCAUCGACCGAUCCUGAUGUUUUCGGAUGGAUUUGAGUAAGAGCAUACGGGGCCGGACCCGAAAGAAGGUGAACUAUGCCUGUAUAGGGUGAAGCCAGAGGAAACUCUGGUGGAGGCUCGCAGCGGUUCUGACGUGCAAAUCGAUCGUCAAAUAUGGGCAUGGGGGCGAAAGACUA